AGUGAACGCUGGCGGUAGGCCUAACACAUGCAAGUCGAACGGCAGCACAGUAAGAGCUUGCUCUUACGGGUGGCGAGUGGCGGACGGGUGAGGAAUACAUCGGAAUCUACUUUUUCGUGGGGGACAACGUAGGGAAACUGACGCUAAUACCGCAUACGACCAACGGGUGAAAGCAGGGGAUCUUCGGACCUUGCGCGAUUGAAUGAGCCGAUGUCGGAUUAGCUAGUUGGCGGGGUAAAGGCACACCAAGGCGACGAUCCGUAGCUGGUCUGAGAGGAUGAUCAGCCACACUGGAACUGAGACACGGUCCAGACUCCUACGGGAGGCAGCAGUAGGGAAUAUUGGGCAAUGGGCGCAAGCCUGAUCCAGCCAUACCGCGUGAGUGAUGAAGGCCUUCGGGUUGUAAAGCCCUUUUGUUGGGAAAGAACAACAGCAGGUUAAUACCCCGCUGUUCUGACGGUACCCAAAGAAUAAGCACCGGCUAACUUCGUG
Molecule: ribosomal RNA, 492 nt
Filed under: uncultured bacterium
Lineage: Bacteria
Description: partial 16S ribosomal RNA
Rfam family: Bacterial small subunit ribosomal RNA
Source: RNAcentral